This 567-nucleotide ribosomal RNA is filed under the name Triticum aestivum (bread wheat). RNAcentral's name for it is "partial small subunit ribosomal RNA". The record is from RNAcentral. Lineage: Eukaryota; Viridiplantae; Streptophyta; Magnoliopsida; Poales; Poaceae.
AUGAUGAUGGAAUUAGGCCUUCGUGAGGAGGAUCUGGAUGAUGUCGUUUUCGAUGAGAAGGAAGCGCCGCCGGAGUCACCACGGUGGGUCGCGCUGAUCAAGGUCAAUACCAACAAGAGCUACAGCCAGACGUGGUUCUAUCGGAAUAUGCGAUCUGCUUGGGAUGUGGCACGGGAAGCAAAAUUCAAGCCUUUGGAGGAGAAUCUGUAUACUGUUCAGUUUACUUGUUUGGGAGAUUGGGAGCGAGUAAUGCAGCAGGGGCCGUGGAAUUUCAGGGGGGAUGCGGUGCUUAUGGCACCAUAUGAUGGAAUCUCGAAGCCGUCUACGGUCAAGCUGGAGACCAUUGACAUAUGGAUUCAAAUCCACGACGUGCCAGAUUUAUAUGCUCAUCUAGUCAGGCCUCUGGCAGCUAGAGUGGGCGAAGUUUUGUUUGUUGAAACCCAAUCCCAUGACUUCAUAGGGAAUUUCUACCGCGUUUGGGUGCGUAUCAAUGUCCACAAACCACUAAAGAACGCGGUUUCAAUGAUCAGAGAAGGACAGAGGCAGAUUUACAAAGUCAAGUACUAG